UAAGUAGGCGCGUUCGUCUGGGCCCCGAAGCAGAAGGUCUCCGAUAGUCACGCACCAACGAGCCAAUGAAGAUCGCCAAGGAAGUCUUCGUGGCUAAAGCACUCGCUUUGCUUUUGCAGUUUGCAACUGCAGUUGCCUUCAGGCUGACCUCAGAUGACAGUACGACCCUGAGAUCUGGUGCGCGCAAUAGACCUAUCAUGUCCGCCGUCGUCAAAGAAGUCCCGCCACCCCCUCCCCCGCCCUUCCACUUCGAGGACCUCCUGAUUCCUUCCAUGACCGAGGUCGCCAAGGACUCUGGCUACCACCCCGACUUCCUGAGGAGGCUGAGGAGAGACGCCAGGGAGAGAGACCCCUGGGGGAAACCGAAGGUGGAGUCAGCCAUGGAGAGGAAGGCGCCUAGGUCUAGGGGUAGCAACGUGCCCUACGUCAACAGAAGACUUACCCGUAGGCGCCAGAGGGUUCGUCAGAACCAGAGGGGCGUGGGCUACGACUACGACGAUAGGCCUACCUGGCUUGGUUGAGAGAGAGAGAGAGAGAGAGAGGAGAGCGCCACUUGUCCUAUAUCAUACAAUCUUUACGAAGGUUACAGUUAUAGGCUGGGCUAUCUUAUCUAAACAGAGAGAGAGAGAGAGAGAGAGAGAGAGAGAGAGAGAGAGAGAGAGAGAGAGAGAGAGAGAGAGAGAGUAUUGUUACUUUCUUGUUCAUAGAGAAAGUGUCCUAAGGCAUCUAUACAAUUCUUUAUACAAUCACGAUCCAAACGCCUUAGAUAUACCUAUAAUUCACAUUGGACGACAUAGAUAUAUUUAAACGGACUCCUUUUAUAUGGUCAAUGUUCCUAGAAUUAGUCUUAGCGUAAAAUGAAACAUUAAUAUUAAAUCAUAAUUUAUUAAGCACCGCUGUGUGGCGCUCGUUCUUAUAUUUUGUAAGGAACUCGAUUGUACCUGUAGGCUUAAUCUUUUUUAUCAGUAGAAGCCCUUUGAGAAGUUCAGUUGGAGUUUUUAUGCAAAAUUAGUUUCAAUUCAUAAUUUUUAUCGUAUAUUAAAGUCGUUAGAACUAUGUUUCUAACUACAAAUUCUCUAUUUUCUUCAUGAAAUCUCCCACUGAACUUCCACAGGGGUUCAGGAAACCAAUAUUUAUGAAUAUUUAUCAAGACUAUUUCUCGUACUUCCAUGCUAGCUCAUAUGAAGACAGUUUAUACGAGGACACACGUAGGACUGUAGAGAAAUCCGCAGUCUUGCCAUGAUUAUAUUUGUUGAGGUAAUAAUAUUUGUACCUGGAAUUA
Macrobrachium nipponense is the source of this 1282-nucleotide long non-coding RNA. RefSeq lists it as uncharacterized. The transcript has 2 exons. NCBI's taxonomy places the organism in Eukaryota, Metazoa, Arthropoda, Malacostraca, Decapoda, Palaemonidae. The record is from RefSeq and is a predicted model, not a curated record.